RNAcentral lists this small RNA (95 nucleotides) under Panthera pardus (leopard). Its description in RNAcentral is "TUC338 (ENSPPRG00000019355.1)". Lineage: Eukaryota; Metazoa; Chordata; Mammalia; Carnivora; Felidae. The record is from RNAcentral.
CGGGAAGGGCAAAACACAGGCAGCAAUCGUGUGAGCUUUUCUCACACGUGCCCAUCCACGUGCCUCAAGCCCGAUCUGAGGGGACUCCCUCUAGA